Molecule: ribosomal RNA, 238 nt
Filed under: uncultured Lactobacillus sp.
Lineage: Bacteria; Bacillati; Bacillota; Bacilli; Lactobacillales; Lactobacillaceae
Description: partial 16S ribosomal RNA
Rfam family: Bacterial small subunit ribosomal RNA
Source: RNAcentral
AACCUGCCCAAGAGAUCGGGAUAACACCUGGAAACAGAUGCUAAUACCGGAUAACAACAGAUGAUGCCUAUCAACUGUUUAAAAGAUGGUUCUGCUAUCACUCUUGGAUGGACCUGCGGUGCAUUAGCUAGUUGGUAGGGUAACGGCCACCAAGGCGAUGAUGCAUAGCCGAGUUGAGAGACUGAUCGGCCACAUUGGGACUGAGACACGGCCCAAACUCCUACGGGAGGCAGCAGCC